AGGGCACCACCAGGAGUGGAGCCUGCGGCUUAAUUUGACUCAACACGGGAAAACUUACCCGGCCCGGACACUGGCAGGAUUGACAGAUUGAGAGCUCUUUCUUGAUUCAGUGGGUGGUGGUGCAUGGCCGUUCUUAGUUGGUGGAGCGAUUUGUCUGGUUAAUUCCGAUAACGAACGAGACUCUAGCCUACUAAAUAGGCCACCGGCUUACUGACGUCGGUGGGACUUCUUAGAGGGACAGGCGGCGAUUCAGCCGCACGAAACAGAGCAAUAACAGGUCUGUGAUGCCCUUAGAUGUCCGGGGCCGCACGCGCGCUACACUGAAGUGAUCAGCGUGCAUUACAAACCUGCUCCGUCAGGAGUGGGGAACCCAAUGAACCUUCUUCGUGAUUGGGAUAGGGGAUUGUAAUUAUUCCCCUUGAACGAGGAAUUCCCAGUAAGCGCGAGUCAUAAGCUCGCGUUGAUUACGUCCCUGCCCCUUUGUACACACCGCCCGUCGCUACCUACCGAUUGGAAUUG
Molecule: ribosomal RNA, 519 nt
Filed under: uncultured eukaryote
Lineage: Eukaryota
Description: SSU rRNA
Rfam family: Eukaryotic small subunit ribosomal RNA
Source: RNAcentral